AUUGAACGCUGGCGGCAUGCUUUACACAUGCAAGUCGAACGGUAACAGGCCUUCGGCUUCUGACGAGUGGCGAACGGGGGAGUAAUGCAUCGGAACGUACCCAGAGGUAGGUUAUAACGCAGCGAAAGCUGUGCUAAUACCGCAUGUGAUCUGAGGAUGACAGCGGGGGACCGAGCAGCAAUGUUUGGCCUCGCGCCUUUGGAGCGGCCGAUGUCGGAUUAGCUAGUUGGUGGGGUAAAGGCCUACCAAGGCGACGAUCCGUAGCUGGUCUGAGAGGACGACCAGCCACACUGGGACUGAGACACGGCCCAGACUCCUACGGGAGGCAGCAGUGGGGAAUUUUGGACAAUGGGCGCAAGCCUGAUCCAGCAAUGCCGCGUGCGGGAAGAAGGCCUUCGGGUUGUAAACCGCUUUUGGCAGGAACGAAACGGUGUCCGCUAAUACCGGGCGCUAAUGACGGUACCUGAAGAAUAAGCACCGGCUAACUACGUG
This 492-nucleotide ribosomal RNA is filed under the name uncultured bacterium. RNAcentral's name for it is "partial 16S ribosomal RNA". It matches the Rfam family "Bacterial small subunit ribosomal RNA", at positions 30 to 507 of the family's 1533-position model. The record is from RNAcentral.